AUCCAAGGCUUCCUAGACAAAGAGACUUGCAGCUUCUGAUCAGCGAAAACCAAGCACAGAAGAGAGCCCAAAACCCUUCUUACUAGCCAAGAAUGAAACCAAAACAAACUUUCUGCCUUAUCCCCCCAUAAAUAUGGCGUUAUAAUCUGCUUACUACAUGAGGAAAUCAAUCAUGCCAUUUCCUGCAGUUACCUAUUGGGAAAAAGCUUCAAAUUUACAGCAGCAAGAAAAACCACAAAAG
This 241-nucleotide unclassified non-coding RNA is filed under the name Hevea brasiliensis (rubber tree). Lineage: Eukaryota; Viridiplantae; Streptophyta; Magnoliopsida; Malpighiales; Euphorbiaceae. The record is from RNAcentral.